RNAcentral lists this ribosomal RNA (192 nucleotides) under uncultured bacterium. RNAcentral's name for it is "partial 16S ribosomal RNA". It matches the Rfam family "Bacterial small subunit ribosomal RNA", at positions 1311 to 1500 of the family's 1533-position model. The record is from RNAcentral.
CUCGCCUACAUGAAGCUGGAGUUGCUAGUAAUCGCGAAUCAGCAUGUCGCGGUGAAUACGUUCCCGGGCCUUGUACACACCGCCCGUCACACCAUGAGAGUUGGCAAUACCCAACGUACGUGAUCUAACCCGCAAGGGAGGAAGCGUCCUAAGGUAGGGUCAGNGAUUGGGGUGAAGUCGUAACAAGGUACC